AUCCUGCUGAAAGUGAUGUAGAAGAGCAAUUUUUUAAUUGCCAACAAUGUGGGAAGCGUUUUCGUGCCGAAUCUUUGUUGAAAUUCCAUCUUCGAAUGCAUGGUUCGGAGCCUUCCUCGAAUGAGUCGGCUGAAUUUGCAGCUGUUCCAAAUAGUAACAGAGUUUGUAAUGAAGAGGAAUCAUCUUCAAGCUCUAGUGAAAGAUCAGCUGAUGUAAGAGAGAAAAGUAUUCCCAGAAAUAUGCACCAAAAGUUCCGACUCUUACAGGCUGAAGCUUCGAAGGAAAAAACGUGCUGUUCGUCGCCGUCAUAAAACUCCUUCUUCUUAAUUGGGUUCCAAAACUUUGUUUCCAUGAGAAUGAUUUCAUAUUUGUGUAUCUUUUGUUUUCAAUUGAAGUUAUUUUGAAAUGGCAAAAAGUUUGUGUAAAUAUUGUAUGUAUGUUGCUGUAAUUUUUUUUUUCCUUUUUGUCAAAAAGAUUUCCUGUUAAAAUGUUGUGAAUAAAUGUAGUACACUUUUAAAUGUUUUUAAUUAAGCCAUGAUAUAUAAAUAGCAUUUAAAUCAGUAUUGAAAGGAUAAUCCACUACUUAAGUGGGUUGGUUAUUGAUGAAACAUUUAUUUCUGACAAAGUGACUUUUUCUGGAAUAAAGAAAAUAAUUGAAGUAAUUUUAAUCAGUAUCUUUAAUAAGAAUAAAAUUGCUAUCUGGAGAUA
This is a long non-coding RNA of Stegodyphus dumicola, 708 nucleotides long. The record is from RefSeq and is a predicted model, not a curated record. NCBI's taxonomy places the organism in Eukaryota, Metazoa, Arthropoda, Arachnida, Araneae, Eresidae.